UGGGGAAUAUUGCGCAAUGGGCGAAAGCCUGACGCAGCGACGCCGCGUGUGGGAUGAAGGUCUUCGGAUUGUAAACCACUGUCGGGAGGGACGAAGCUCUGACGGUACCUCCAAAGGAAGCACCGGCUAACUCUGUGCCAGCAGCCGCGGUAAUACAGAGGGUGCAAGCGUUGUCCGGAAUCACUGGGCGUAAAGGGCGCGUAGGCGGCCUGGUAAGUAGGGGGUGAAAUUCUGCGGCUCAACCGCAGGACUGCCUCCUAAACUGCCGGGCUUGAGCACGGUAGAGGCUGGUGGAAUUCCCGGUGUAGCGGUGGAAUGCGUAGAGAUCGGGAAGAACAUCGGUGGCGAAGGCGGCCAGCUGGGCCGUUGCUGACGCUGAGGCGCGACAGCGUGGGGAGCA
This 400-nucleotide ribosomal RNA is filed under the name uncultured bacterium. RNAcentral describes it as "bacterial SSU rRNA". It matches the Rfam family "Bacterial small subunit ribosomal RNA", at positions 355 to 770 of the family's 1533-position model. The record is from RNAcentral.